GGACUACCCGGGUUUCUAAUCCUGUUUGCUACCCACGCUUUCGUGUCUCAGCGUCAGUGAUGGUCCAGCAAGCUGUCUACACCACAGGUGUUCCUCCUGAUAUCUACGCAUUUCACCGCUACACCAGGAAUUCCGCUUGCCUCUCCCAUACUCGAGCACUCCAGUUUCCGGCGCACCCUCCCAGUUGAGCCGGGAGAUUUCACACCAGACUUAGAGCACCGCCUACACACUCUUUACGCCCAGUAAUUCCGAACAACGCUUGCUGCCUACGUAUUACCGCGGCUGCUGGCAC
This 292-nucleotide ribosomal RNA is filed under the name uncultured Acidobacteriota bacterium. RNAcentral describes it as "uncultured Acidobacteria bacterium partial 16S ribosomal RNA". The record is from RNAcentral. Lineage: Bacteria; Pseudomonadati; Acidobacteriota.